CAAAAAAUAGUUUAAUAAAAAUAAUAAUUUUGGAGAUUAUUGAUAAAAUUUUAAUUUUUUUUUUGA
This 66-nucleotide transfer RNA is filed under the name Himalopsyche malenanda. RNAcentral describes it as "tRNA-Pro". The record is from RNAcentral. Lineage: Eukaryota; Metazoa; Arthropoda; Insecta; Trichoptera; Rhyacophilidae.